Molecule: non-coding RNA, 1763 nt
Organism: Heterocephalus glaber (naked mole-rat)
Lineage: Eukaryota; Metazoa; Chordata; Mammalia; Rodentia; Bathyergidae
Source: RefSeq, a predicted model, not a curated record
GUUUCCAGCAGUUUUCACAAAACCAUGAAGUUAGCUCUGAUUGGGUCAGCUCAGGUCACGUGUCCACCAGGUAAUAAAUUCCUGUUGCCAGGCAACACUGGUGCUGUUUGUUUGGCCUGGACUACAGGUUCCACUCCUGAGUCUUGGCUGUUUUUCUCACACCAAGUUGCUAAGCAGGGAAGAUAGUUUUCAAAAUACAAGUCCUCUGGGCAUAAACUUCCCUUGUUAAGGUGAGGAUUUGUGUCCUUUGUUACAUUUUGAGUAUCUAGAACAGUGAUGCUUAAGCUCCUUAAAUAUCUUUUGAACGAAUAAAUAUGGAGAUGAAUAACAAGCAGUCUUUUGUGUAAUAUGUGACACACUUUAUCGCUCCAAGUGCUCUAUGAAGCAGCAACAAAAUAAAGGCCAAGUGCACCAACCUUUGCCAAGAGCCUCAGAGGAACACAUAUGAAGUCACUGACCUACGGCCUAUGUGAGUGUCUCCUAGGUUGGUGCCGCAAACUCUCUGUACCGGGCUUGGCCCAGUCAAAUUCACAGUGAUCAUGAUGCCGGCCCUACAUGAAGGGUGCUCUGCUCCUGGGAAAUCAAGCUCUGGUCCUGACAGGGUCGAGAGGAUCCCAGGUCCCUCAGGAGCCUCCCAAGGGCAAAGUCAGUUCCCAUGUGGACCGUUCCUUCUGGUAUGCAGUGUACACGACAGGAGGGGCUCUCGCUGAGCUACAGAGGAUAUACAGGGCCCUCUGGGGAGUGUAGCUAUAUCACCUACUAGAAGCUCUUCGAGGGUGGGUUAUGUCCUCUGUCCCUAGAACAAUGCCUGGCCCCCAGAAGAGCCCAAGGAAUGUGCUGUUGAGGCUGACAGGCAAGUUCUCCUAGCUGGGACUUAACAGUCUCUCAGAAGAGCCAGGCCAAUGUCCCAUCCCCAUGGUAAGGACUGUCAACUUGGAUGGUGGAGCAUAUGGGCUCUACUGCCAACUGUAGGAGACAAGGAACCUUCUCUUUCUCCUCUGCAGGUUUGAUGGCCGAGUCUUCUGAAAUUAACAGGCAAUAGAUCUGCUGAAGAAAAUCCUGUGAGAUUGUGACACGCAUGGGGCCAUCACAGGAAAGCAGGUACCAGGAAGGAAUCAGCAUCCAUCUUCUAGGCUCUGAGCCAGAAUCAUUUAUCUGAUGGGCCUACUCCAACCCAAGCAAGAAUAUGGAGAGGUGGUGAAUAUGAGAGGUGAGGUCGCACACUGACUUUGAGGGCGUGUUCAGUGUCUCAGCCUAAAAGAAGUGGUGAUGAUGGGAUCGAGGCACACUACAGCUUGAGAGGAAGGCAAUGGCAUGUGGAAGAUCUUUGAAAUCACACCGGGAGGCUGCUCACUAACCAGUCUCUAAGGUUAGCUGAUUCUCUGGGAAGAAUCAUCAUGUUAUCAAGUCUCUGCCUUUCUUUCUUUUGAAAGUGAACUUCUGCACUUUUAGAUAGCACCCACAUAGCUUUGGGUGGCUUCAAUCAGGCCUACAGUGGAGAAACUGAGAAAAAGUUAAGACCAGACCAUCAGACAUGAUGUGUGCCUUGAGGAUUAUAUACAUGGAACUCCCGUCAUUCAGGGCAUUGAUGCAUGGAGUCCUCUCCUCCCCUUCGGGUGUCUGAUCUGCCAAGACCCCAGAAGGAUAAGGAAAUCUUGUCUGUAUGGAGGGAAAAACAUCUUCUGGUCCCAGGUACAAAUUACAGCUACUCUACCACCAUUGGUGUGAAAAUAGAGGAUUUUUCUCUUUAAUGUCUAAAUGAG